This 412-nucleotide ribosomal RNA is filed under the name uncultured bacterium. Its description in RNAcentral is "bacterial SSU rRNA". It matches the Rfam family "Bacterial small subunit ribosomal RNA", at positions 355 to 764 of the family's 1533-position model. The record is from RNAcentral.
UAAGGAAUAUUGGACAAUGGAGGCAACUCUGAUCCAGCCAUGCCGCGUGAAGGAAUAAGGCCCUAUGGGUUGUAAACUUCUUUUAGACGGGACAAAACCCCUUUACGUGUAAAGGGUUGAUGGUACUGUCAGAAUAAGCAUCGGCUAACUUCGUGCCAGCAGCCGCGGUAAUACGAAGGAUGCAAGCGUUAUCCGGAAUUAUUGGGUUUAAAGGGUGCGUGGGCGGACUAAUAAGUCAGUGGUGAAAGCCUGCAGCUUAACUGCAGAAUUGCCAUUGAUACUGUUAGUCUUGAGUACAGUUGAGGUAGGCGGAAUGUGUCAUGUAGCGGUGAAAUGCUUAGAUAUGACACAAAACACCGAUUGCGAAGGCAGCUUGCUAAGCUGUAACUGACGCUGAGGCACGAAAGCGUGG